RNAcentral lists this ribosomal RNA (410 nucleotides) under uncultured bacterium. Its description in RNAcentral is "bacterial SSU rRNA". It matches the Rfam family "Bacterial small subunit ribosomal RNA", at positions 110 to 507 of the family's 1533-position model. The record is from RNAcentral.
GUAACGCGUAUGUAAUCUGCCUGUUAAACAACGAGGGGGAAUUAACCCCCGGGAGAAAAUCCGGCCUAAUACCUCAUAGCACAUAUUAUUCGCAUGAGUUUUAUGUUAAAGAGACUCGGUUACAGAUGAACAUGCGUUCCAUUAGCUGGUUGGCGGGGUAACGGCCCACCAAGGCAACGAUGGAUAGGGGUUCUGAGAGGAAGGUCCCCCACACUGGUACUGAGACACGGACCAGACUCCUACGGGAGGCAGCAGUGAGGAAUAUUGGUCAAUGGGCGCGAGCCUGAACCAGCCAAGUAGCGUGGAGGACGACGGCCCUACGGGUUGUAAACUCCUUUUAUAAGGGGAUAAAGUUGGCCAUGUAUGGCCAUUUGCAGGUACCUUAUGAAUAAGCAUCGGCUAAUUCCGUG